RNAcentral lists this ribosomal RNA (423 nucleotides) under uncultured bacterium. RNAcentral describes it as "bacterial SSU rRNA". It matches the Rfam family "Bacterial small subunit ribosomal RNA", at positions 355 to 776 of the family's 1533-position model. The record is from RNAcentral.
UAAGGAAUAUUGCUCAAUGGCCGAAAGGCUGAAGCAGCAACGCCGCGUGAAGGAUGAAGGGAUUUUUCUUGUAAACUUCUGUAAUGAGGGAAAAAUAUCUCCGAUUUAUCGGAGGAAGAUGGUACCUCAGAAGUAAGCCCCGGCUAACUACGUGCCAGCAGCCGCGGUAAUACGUAGGGGGCAAGCGUUGUCCGGAUUUACUGGGUAUAAAGGGUGCUCAGGCGGAUUUGUAAGUCAGUGGUGAAAUCUCACAGCUCAACUGUGAAACUGCCUCUGAUACUGCAAGUCUAGAGUUCAGAAGAGGAUGAUGGAAUAUCUGGUGUAGCAGUGAAAUGCGUAGAUAUCAGAUAGAACACCAAUGGCGAAGGCAGUCAUCUGGUCUGUAACUGACGCUAAAGCACGAAAGCGUGGGUAGCAAACAGG